RNAcentral lists this long non-coding RNA (669 nucleotides) under Bemisia tabaci. RNAcentral describes it as "lncRNA ENSSSA3NGG006496". Lineage: Eukaryota; Metazoa; Arthropoda; Insecta; Hemiptera; Aleyrodidae. The record is from RNAcentral.
AUCUUUUUAUUUGAUAUUAAUGUUCCCUUUGUCUAAUUUUAUUUCUGGUUUCCUUUCAGACAAAAAAUUUAAGACUAGAAUUGCAGAAGAAGGAAAAAUUAAUGUUUGAAAUGAAAAAUAAGCUAGAGGAGGAAAAACAAGCUGCCUUGCUGGAGGUAGAGAAAAAAUACAGUAAAUAAAAAAGAGUUGGAACAGAAAAAUACUGAACUGCAAUUCCAGUCGAGGAACAUUGUUGACUCUGAAGAGAAAAUGAAAGCAAUGCGAUCCCUUAUGAGAACUUCACCUCCAAAUAAGCAAGCUCAGAAUCUGAAUAGCAGCCGUGCCUUAUUUAAUGAUGAUCUCCACAAACUGGAAGCUCAAAUUAAAGACAUCAGUCCAAAAAAAGGAGAACCACAAAUUGAACUCUAUGAGCCAUUGAACAUACAAAUUCAUGCAGGAAAGCUUUUGUAUGAAAGGUUGUAUCCACGACUAUUUGAUCCUCCAGCGCAAGAAAAUGAAACGCUCGUUGAAAAGGCAGAAACAACAAAGAGCGUCAAUGUUUCGACAGUUAAGAGUGUCCUUCUAACGCAGACAGUCGCAAAACCAGAAAACAGUGAAGGUAAAAAUAAGAAUCAGCAGAAAAAUGACUCAUCAAACAAAAGCUCGCAAUUGAUGUCCUUUUCGCCGAUG